UCCUUGGUGGCUCAGACAGUAAAGAAUCUGCCUGCAGUGCAGGAGACCCGGGUUCGAUCCCUGGGUGGGGAA
Molecule: transfer RNA, 72 nt
Filed under: Ovis aries (sheep)
Lineage: Eukaryota; Metazoa; Chordata; Mammalia; Artiodactyla; Bovidae
Rfam family: tRNA
About the family: Transfer RNA (tRNA) molecules are approximately 80 nucleotides in length. Their secondary structure includes four short double-helical elements and three loops (D, anti-codon, and T loops).
Source: Rfam by way of RNAcentral